Molecule: ribosomal RNA, 539 nt
Filed under: Shigella flexneri
Lineage: Bacteria; Pseudomonadati; Pseudomonadota; Gammaproteobacteria; Enterobacterales; Enterobacteriaceae
Description: partial 23S ribosomal RNA
Rfam family: Bacterial large subunit ribosomal RNA
Source: RNAcentral
AGGUUAAGUGAAUAAGGGCGCACGGUGGAUGCCUUGGCACUAGGAGCCGAUGAAGGACGGGACUAACACCGAUAUGCUUUGGGGAGCUGUAAGUAAGCUAUGAUCCAGAGAUUUCCGAAUGGGGGAACCCAAUAUCUUUUAUAGGAUAUUACUUUUCAGUGAAUACAUAGCUGAUUAGAGGUAGACGCAGAGAACUGAAACAUCUUAGUACCUGCAGGAAGAGAAAGAAAAUUCGAUUCCCUGAGUAGCGGCGAGCGAAACGGGAAGAGCCCAAACCAACAAGCUUGCUUGUUGGGGUUGUAGGACUCCAAUAUGGUAGUCUGUUAGUAUAGUUGAAGGAUUUGGAAAAUUCCGCUAAAGAGGGUGAAAGCCCCGUAGACGAAAUGCUAACAACACCUAGGAGGAUCCUGAGUACGGCGGAACACGAGAAAUUCCGUCGGAAUCCGCGGGGACCAUCCCGCAAGGCUAAAUACUCCCUAGUGACCGAUAGUGAACCAGUACCGUGAGGGAAAGGUGAAAAGCACCCCGGAAGGGGAGUG